This 1149-nucleotide ribosomal RNA is filed under the name Erwinia amylovora. RNAcentral's name for it is "bacterial SSU rRNA". It matches the Rfam family "Bacterial small subunit ribosomal RNA", at positions 53 to 1209 of the family's 1533-position model. Lineage: Bacteria; Pseudomonadati; Pseudomonadota; Gammaproteobacteria; Enterobacterales; Erwiniaceae. The record is from RNAcentral.
ACAUGCAGUCGAACGGUAGCACAGAGAGCUUGCUCUUGGGUGACGAGUGGCGGACGGGUGAGUAAUGUCUGGGAAACUGCCCGAUGGAGGGAUAACUACUGGAAACGGUAGCUAAUACCGCAUAACGUCUACGGACCAAAGUGGGGGACCUUCGGGCCUCACACCAUCGGAUGUGCCCAGAUGGGAUUAGCUGGUAGGUGGGUAACGGCUCACCUAGGCGACGAUCCCUAGCUGGUCUGAGAGGAUGACCAGCCACACUGGAACUGAGACACGGUCCAGACUCCUACGGGAGGCAGCAGUGGGGAAUAUUGCACAAUGGGCGCAAGCCUGAUGCAGCCAUGCCGCGUGUAUGAAGAAGGCCUUCGGGUUGUAAAGUACUUUCAGCGGGGAGGAAGGGAGAGGUUAAUAACCUUCAUUGACGUUACCCGCAGAAGAAGCACCGGCUAACUCCGUGCCAGCAGCCGCGGUAAUACGGAGGGUGCAAGCGUUAAUCGGAAUUACUGGGCGUAAAGCGCACGCAGGCGGUCUGUCAAGUCGGAUGUGAAAUCCCCGGGCUUAACCUGGGAACUGCAUUCGAAACUGGCAGGCUAGAGUCUCGUAGAGGGGGGUAGAAUUCCAGGUGUAGCGGUGAAAUGCGUAGAGAUCUGGAGGAAUACCGGUGGCGAAGGCGGCCCCCUGGACGAAGACUGACGCUCAGGUGCGAAAGCGUGGGGAGCAAACAGGAUUAGAUACCCUGGUAGUCCACGCCGUAAACGAUGUCGACUUGGAGGCUGUUCCCUGAGGAGUGGCUUCCGGAGCUAACGCGUUAAGUCGACCGCCUGGGGAGUACGGCCGCAAGGUUAAACUCAAAUGAAUUGACGGGGGCCCGCACAAGCGGUGGAGCAUGUGGUUUAAUUCGAUGCAACGCGAAGAACCUUACCUGGCCUUGACAUCCACGGAAUUCUGCAGAGAUGCGGAAGUGCCUUCGGGAACCGUGAGACAGGUGCUGCAUGGCUGUCGUCAGCUCGUGUUGUGAAAUGUUGGGUUAAGUCCCGCAACGAGCGCAACCCUUAUCCUUUGUUGCCAGCGAUUCGGUCGGGAACUCAAAGGAAACUGCCGGUGAAACCGGAGGAAGGGGGGGAUGACGUCAGUCAUCAGGCCCUUACGGCA